Molecule: long non-coding RNA, 440 nt
Filed under: Drosophila guanche
Lineage: Eukaryota; Metazoa; Arthropoda; Insecta; Diptera; Drosophilidae
Source: RNAcentral
CCAUAAAGUGGUAUAUUGAUCAAUUUAAGAGCAUUUUGUACAAUAUUCUUAAUUCAGACAGGCGUUUGAAAUGUGUUUGUGAGUUUGAAAAUAAAAAAACGGAUCUCAUAAUAUGCUUAAUGGAUAGUUUUUCAACAAGUCUAUAUAUGUGAUGAAAGCCCACGGAAGCAUUAAACCUAAUGGAUCAAUCCUUGAUCAAAUGUAUGUCCUUUUGUUUUCGUAAUUGAACCUAAGGUUUGAAAAUUCGGAGUCUUUUGCACGGUGAAACUCAAUGACCAAUUAAAUUACAAAAGAGGAUGCCAAUUUGCAUUGCAUUUAAGCAUUAAUACCUGACACUAGUUUUAAGAACGAAAAGGUAGUUUGUUUUUGUAUUAAAGUGAACAAUUUCCCGAAAAACUUGAAAGAAAUUAAAAAAAAAACAUUUAUAAUAAUGUAAAGAG